This 238-nucleotide ribosomal RNA is filed under the name uncultured bacterium. RNAcentral describes it as "partial 16S ribosomal RNA". It matches the Rfam family "Bacterial small subunit ribosomal RNA", at positions 96 to 334 of the family's 1533-position model. The record is from RNAcentral.
CGGCGGACGGGUGAGUAACGCGUGGGUAACCUACCCUGUACACACGGAUAACAUACCGAAAGGUAUGCUAAUACGGGAUAAUAUAUUUGAGAGGCAUCUCUUGAAUAUCAAAGGUGAGCCAGUACAAGAUGGACCCGCGUCUGAUUAGCUAGUUGGUAAGGUAACGGCUUACCAAGGCGACGAUCAGUAGCCGACCUGAGAGGGUGAUCGGCCACAUUGGAACUGAGACACGGUCCAA